AGCCGGUGUGAAAAACUCCGGUGGUGUAAGAUGGACCCGCGUCUGAUUAGCUUGUUGGCGGGGUAACGGCUCACCAAGACAACGAUACAUAGGGGGACUGAGAGGUUAACCCCCCACAUUGGUACUGAGACACGGACCAAACUCCUACGGGAGGCAGCAG
RNAcentral lists this ribosomal RNA (160 nucleotides) under uncultured bacterium. RNAcentral describes it as "partial 16S ribosomal RNA". It matches the Rfam family "Bacterial small subunit ribosomal RNA", at positions 192 to 354 of the family's 1533-position model. The record is from RNAcentral.